Poecilia latipinna (sailfin molly) is the source of this 330-nucleotide long non-coding RNA. RefSeq lists it as uncharacterized. The record is from RefSeq and is a predicted model, not a curated record. The transcript has 3 exons. Lineage: Eukaryota; Metazoa; Chordata; Actinopteri; Cyprinodontiformes; Poeciliidae.
UGAGAGAGCUGCGAGGUAACAGAUCAUCAGAGCAGAGAGGAAAAGGUGGAGCGGAGAGCCUAUCCGAUUAACAAAAGAUUAGUGUCCUGUUCGGGUCAAGCAUGCCCGGUGGAACUGCUGAGAGUGUUUCUGACUGGGCAGGCUCUGUCUGCUGGUCUGUUGCCGAGCCGGAGGAUUUCUCCACUGUCAAAGUCUCACACAGUUCUCUGAGAGAUUCAGAGUGUUCCUCGACAGAUGCAGCCUCCUGGCUUCAUGGCUUGCUGGAUGCGUCCCUGCAGACGAAGCCUGGCCUUCUCCAGUCGGCUCCUGGCCAUCGACUGGGCUUUGCAG